GGACAACCUACCCUGCGGAAGGGGAUAACCCCGGGAAACUGGGGAUAAUACCCUAUAGGAUAUUGAUGCUGGAAUGCGCGAUAUCUGAAAGUUGAGGCGCCGCAGGAUGGGUCUGCGGCCGAUUAGGUAGUUGUUGGGGUAACGGCCCAACAAGCCUGUAAUCGGUACGGGUUGUGGGAGCAAGAGCCCGGAGAUGGAUUCUGAGACAUGAAUCCAGGCCCUACGGGGCGCAGCAGGCGCGAAAACUUUACAAUGCGGGAAACCGUGAUAAGGGAACCCCGAGUGCCCGUAGAAUCGGGCUGUUGAUCUGUGUAAAAAGCAGGUAAAGAAAGGGCCGGGCAAGACCGGUGCCAGCCGCCGCGGUAAUACCGGCGGCUCGAGUGGUGGCCACUAUUACUGGGCUUAAAGCGUUCGUAGCUGGGUUGUUAAGUCUCUUGGGAAAUCCACCGGCUCAACCGAUGGGCGACCAGGGGAAACUGGCAUUCUAGGGACCGGGAGAGGUGAGAGGUACUCCAGGGGUAGGAGUGAAAUCCUGUAAUCCUUGGGGGACCACCGAUGGCGAAGGCAUCUCACCAGAACGGCUCCGACAGUGAGGAACGAAAGCUGGGGGAGCAAACCGGAUUAGAUACCCGGGUAGUCCCAGCUGUAAACGAUGCGCGUUAGGUGUAUUGGUGACCACGAGUUACCGAGGUGCCGAAGGGAAACCGUGAAACGCGCCGCCUGGGAAGUACGGUCGCAAGGCUGAAACUUAA
Molecule: ribosomal RNA, 752 nt
Filed under: uncultured archaeon
Lineage: Archaea
Description: bacterial SSU rRNA
Rfam family: Archaeal small subunit ribosomal RNA
Source: RNAcentral